GCGGGUAUAGCAUAGUGGUAAUGCGCCACGUUGCCAACGUGGAUAGAGGGGUUCGAUUCCCCCUACCCGCU
RNAcentral lists this transfer RNA (71 nucleotides) under Candidatus Woesebacteria bacterium. RNAcentral's name for it is "tRNA-Gly". It matches the Rfam family "tRNA". Rfam says of the family: Transfer RNA (tRNA) molecules are approximately 80 nucleotides in length. Their secondary structure includes four short double-helical elements and three loops (D, anti-codon, and T loops). The record is from RNAcentral. Lineage: Bacteria; Candidatus Woeseibacteriota.